AUGGCAGAGCGUGGCUUGUUUUGUUAAAACUGCCGCCAGUUGUUGCAACAGCUCCGAGUUAGAAUAAUAGAUGCAGUGUUCAGUUUUUAAUAUAUGUGUUCCCUGUUUUCUCUGCUCUUUUUAUGGCGGGGGGUGGGGGACAAAAAAGUGUAAAACAAGAUCCGUGCCGCAAAGGCAAUUUAAACCUAACAUCCCAACCUUCAUGCAGCCAUUCUACAAGGAGUUGUUGAGCACCUGCUGUCUAUCUACAGAAAUCUUGAAAUGUGGAACAGAGAUGGAAAUAUAGCAUGCAAGUCAGAAUGAAUUGCCAAACAAUGACAGAAGGCUGCUCUGAAAUGAUCAAAAUUUUCUCCUGGGACCUCACACCAAAGGAAUAUAAUAGGCAUUCAUUUCUAAGACAAUGCGGCAUUCUCAUAAUCUUAAACUCUGGUGAAAACAGAAAAUUAUUGUCAGUGAACAUCUACUAAAUACAGACAGGUCCUGGACUUUGGUUUCUCUUCUGGUAAAGUGAGAACAGUGUCUCCCAUUAGCCAAAAUAAGCAGAGGUCAGUGAAAUAACAAUGUAACACCAAGACAUGGUGCACUUCUCAGGUGAAAACUUUUAU
RNAcentral lists this long non-coding RNA (605 nucleotides) under Homo sapiens (human). Its description in RNAcentral is "HSALNT0313103". Lineage: Eukaryota; Metazoa; Chordata; Mammalia; Primates; Hominidae. The record is from RNAcentral.